AAGACUAUAGACCUGCGGAGUACCUGCGGAGGGAUCAUUACCGAGUGAGGGCCCUCUGGGUCCAACCUCCCACCCGUGUUUAUCGUACCUUGUUGCUUCGGCGGGCCCGCCUCACGGCCGCCGGGGGGCACCUGCCCCCGGGCCCGCGCCCGCCGAAGACAUCAUUGAACUCUGUCUGAAGAUUGCAGUCUGAGUAGAUUAGCUAAAUCAGUUAAAACUUUCAACAACGGAUCUCUAGAU
RNAcentral lists this unclassified non-coding RNA (240 nucleotides) under soil metagenome. RNAcentral's name for it is "partial contains 5.8S ribosomal RNA, internal transcribed spacer 2, and large subunit ribosomal RNA". The record is from RNAcentral.